This 480-nucleotide ribosomal RNA is filed under the name uncultured bacterium. RNAcentral's name for it is "partial 16S ribosomal RNA". It matches the Rfam family "Bacterial small subunit ribosomal RNA", at positions 28 to 507 of the family's 1533-position model. The record is from RNAcentral.
GAUGAACGCUAGCGGCAGGCCUAACACAUGCAAGUCGAGGGGUAGAAGGAGCUUGCUCCUUUGAGACCGGCGCACGGGUGCGUAACGCGUAUGCAAUCUACCUUGUACAGGGGAAUAGCCCAGAGAAAUUUGGAUUAAUGCCCCAUAGUAUAUAACCUUCGCAUGUUGGUUAUAUUAAAGUUCCAACGGUACAAGAUGAGCAUGCGUCCCAUUAGUUAGUUGGUAAGGUAACGGCUUACCAAGACGAUGAUGGGUAGGGGUCCUGAGAGGGAGAUCCCCCACACUGGUACUGAGACACGGACCAGACUCCUACGGGAGGCAGCAGUGAGGAAUAUUGGUCAAUGGUCGAAAGACUGAACCAGCCAUGCCGCGUGCAGGAAGACGGUCCUAUGGAUUGUAAACUGCUUUUAUACAGGAAGAAACCCUCCCACGUGUGGGAGCUUGACGGUACUGUAGGAAUAAGGAUCGGCUAACUCCGUG